GCUAGUUGUAUUAACUCUUAGUUAAUACAAGAUCGACUAUGUCGACUAAAGUUCUAGGUAGAAUAAUGAUGAUGACAAUUUUCUACCUAUAUGUCUUGACCAAAUCUCGUGCCAGCAGUCGCGGUAAUACGUGGAAGACUAGUGUUAUUCAUCUUAAAUAGGUUUAAAGGGUACCUAGACGGUAUAUCUAGCCCAAAACAGGGUACGGAUUAACUAGAGUUUUAUGUGAGAAGGGGAGUACUUUUAGAGUAAAGAUGAAAUUUUAUGAUACUAUGAGGAAACUGGUGGCGGCGAAAGCAACCUUCUAUGUAUAAACUGACGUUGAGGGACGAAGGCUUGGGUAGCAAAUAGGAUUAGAUACCCUAGUAGUCCAAGCAGACAAUUCUGAAUGCCAUAGAUUAGAUUUUUUUGAUUUAUAAAUGAAAGUGUAAGCAUUCCACCUUAGGAGUAAUGUGGCAACACAGGAACUGAAAUCAUUAGACCGUUUCUGAAACCAGUAGUGAAGUAUGUUAUUUAAUUUGAUAGUCCUCAAAAAACCUUACCACAACUUGAAUGUUAUUUAAUUAAUACAAGCGUUGCACGGCUGUCUUCAGUUAAUGUCGUGAGAUUUUGGUUAACUCCUUAAAUUAACGUAAACCCAUGCUUUAU
RNAcentral lists this ribosomal RNA (648 nucleotides) under Sarcogyne belarusensis. Its description in RNAcentral is "SSU rRNA". It matches the Rfam family "Bacterial small subunit ribosomal RNA", at positions 381 to 1114 of the family's 1533-position model. Lineage: Eukaryota; Fungi; Ascomycota; Lecanoromycetes; Acarosporales; Acarosporaceae. The record is from RNAcentral.